AACGCGAAGAACCUUACCUACCCUUGACUUGUAGCGAACCUCGCAGAGAUGCGAGGGUGCCCGAAAGGGAACGCUAACACAGGUGCUGCAUGGCUGUCGUCAGCUCGUGUCGUGAGAUGUUGGGUUAAGUCCCGCAACGAGCGCAACCCUUGUCAUUAGUUGCUACAUUUAGUUGGGCACUCUAAUGAGACUGCCGGUGACAAACCGGAGGAAGGUGGGGAUGACGUCAAGUCCUCAUGGCCCUUAUGGGUAGGGCCUCACACGUAAUACAAUGGCCGGUACAGAGGGCUGCCAACCCGCGAGGGGGAGCUAAUCUCAGAAAGCCGGUCGUAGUCCGGAUUGUUCUCUGCAACUCGAGAGCAUGAAGUUGGAAUCGCUAGUAAUCGCGGAUCAGCAUGUCGCGGUGAAUACGUUCCCGGGCCUUGUACACACCGGUAUCUC
RNAcentral lists this ribosomal RNA (441 nucleotides) under uncultured bacterium. RNAcentral describes it as "bacterial SSU rRNA". It matches the Rfam family "Bacterial small subunit ribosomal RNA", at positions 958 to 1400 of the family's 1533-position model. The record is from RNAcentral.